Molecule: long non-coding RNA, 7749 nt
Organism: Balaenoptera acutorostrata (minke whale)
Lineage: Eukaryota; Metazoa; Chordata; Mammalia; Artiodactyla; Balaenopteridae
Exons: 6
Source: RefSeq, a predicted model, not a curated record
CACAAGGAGUGCAUUUGUAUAAAGGACCAAGAUGAUAUCUGGUGCACACGACUUUCAUCAGCAGUAGGGUGGGGAGAGUGGGUGUACAAUGAGAAACCUGGGUUUUGUGACAUUUGAGUCUCUUCCCAACUUAGUGAGUCUGUCUGGAUCUCUGACUAACCAUAAGCAUGAAGGCUCUUAUCAAAAUAAACCACUAAUGAGGGGAAUCUGGUGACUGAUGGAGAUAAGCACAUUGCCUUUUACUGUGAGACACAGUUCCUGUUUUAAGGACUUUACAGUUUUUGCGGGGAGAUAAGACAAGUGCAUGGCCUUUAGAAUACAAUGCAUGAAAUGUCAAGAACAAGAAAAAUGGCGUGGUGUGCAGUGGAAAUUCAGAGGUUUCCAAAAGAUAAAGCUUGAACCAGAUCUGGAUUGAGUUCAUGGACAAUUUCAUGGGAGGAGAGAAGAAACACUACCACCUACCUUCUCUUUUGGGAUUGCCAUAAACCUCUGGAAAAGUCCAGGGCAGAUAUAAGAGCUUGUGUGGAAACCAUCUGAGCAAUAUACCAGUAGUCCAAUGGAUUAAAAACUAUUAAAAAGUUUUAACCUGAGGGGGUACCUUCAAGAUGGCAGAGGAGUAAGACAUGGAGAUCACCUUCCUCCCCACAAGUACAUCAGAAAUACAAUUACAGGUGGAACAACUCUUACAGAACACCUACUGAACGCUGGCAGAAGACAUCAGACUUCCCAAAAGGCAAGAAACUCCCCCACAGACCUGGGUAGGGCAAAAGGAAAAAGAAAAAACAGACACAAAUGAAUAGGGAUGGGACCUGCACCUCUGGGAGGGAGCUGUGAAGGAGGAAAAUUUCCCACACACUAGGAAGCCCCUUCACUGGUGGAGACAGGGUGUGGCUGAGGGGAAGCUUCGGAGCCACAGAGGAGAGCGCAGCAACAGGGGUGGGGAGGGCAAAGCAGAGAGAUUCCCGCACAGAGGAUCGGGGCUGACCAGCACUCACCAGCCUGAGAGGCUUGUCUGCUCACCCGCCAGGGCAGGCGGGGGCUGGGAACUGAGGCUCGGGCUUCGGAGGUCGGAUCCCAGGGAGAAGACUGGGGUUGGCUGCAUGAACACAGCCUGAAGGGGGCUAGUGCAUCAUGGCUAGCUGGGAGGGAGUCCAGGAAAAAGUCUGGAGCUGGCAAAGAGGCAAGAGACCAUUGUUUCAGGGUGCGCAAGGAGAGGGGAUUCAGAGCACUGCCUGAACGAGCUCCAGAGAUGGGCGCGAGCCAUGGCUAUCAGCGUGGACACCAGAGAUGGGCAUGAAAUGCUAAGCCUGCUGCUGCUGCAGCCACCAAGAAGCCUGUGUGCAAGCACAGGUCACUGUCCACAACCCCCCGGGAGCCCGUGCAGCCCACCACUGCCAGGGUCCCGUGAUCCAGGGACAACUUCCCCGGGAGAACACACGGCGCACCUCAGGCUGUUGCAACAUCACUCCAGCCUCUGCCACUGCAGGCUCACCCCGCAUUCUGUACCCCUCCCUCCCCCGGCCUGAGUGAGCCAGAGCCCCGGAAUCAGCUGCUACUUUAACCCCAUCCUGUCUGAGUGAAGAACAGAUGCCCUCAGGCGACCUACACGCAGAGGCGGGGCCAAAUCCAAAGCUGAACCCCAGGAGCUGUGCAAACAAAAAAGAGAAAGGGAAAUCUCUCCCAGCAGCCUCAGGAGCAGCAGAUUAAAUCUCCACAAUCAACUUGAUGUACCCUGCAUCUGUGGAAUACCUGAAUAGACAAUGAAUCAUCCCAAAAUUGAGGUGGUGGACUUUGGAAGCAACCAUAGACUUGGGGUUUGCUGUUUGCAACUGAUUUGUUUCUGAUUUUUAUGUUUAUCAUGGUAUAGUUUUAGUGCCUGUUAUCAUUGGUGAAUUUGUUUAUUGGUUUGGUUGCUCUCCUCUUUUUUUUAAAUUAUUUUUUAAAUUUUAUUUAGUUUUCUUUCUUUUUUUCUCCCUUUUCUUCUGAUCCGUGUGGCUGACAGGGUCUUGGUGAUCCGGCCUGGUGUCAGGUCUGAGUAUCUGAGGUCGGAGAGGUGAGUUCAGGACAUUGGACUACCAGAGACCUUCCAGUCCCACAUAAUACCAAUUGGCGAGACCUCUCCCAGAGAUCUCUGUCUCAAUGCUAAGACUCAGCUCCACACAAUGGCCAGCAGACUCCAGUGCUGGAUGCCCCAUGCCAAACAACUAGGAAGACAGGAACAUGACCCCACACAUUAGAAGGGAGGCUGCCUACAAUCAUACUAAGUUCACAGACACCCUAAAACACACCACUGGAUGUGGCCCUGCCCAAGAGAAAGACAAGAUCCAGCCCCACCCACCAGAAGACAGGCACCAGUCCCCUCCACCAGGAAGCCUACACAAGCCACUGAACCAACCACACCCACUGGGGGCAGACAGCAUCAACAACUGGAACUAUGAACCUGCAGCCUGGAAAAAGAAGAGCCCAAACACAGUAAGUUAAACAAAAUGGGAAGACAGAGAAAUAUGCAACAGAUGAAGGAGCAAGGUAAAAUCCCACCAAACAAAUGAAGACGAAAUAGGCAGUCUACCUGAAAGAGAAUUCAGAGUAAUGAUAGUAAAGAUGAUCCAAAAUCUGGGAAAUAGAAUGGAGAAAAUACAAGAAACGUUUAACAAGGACCUAGAAGAACUAAAGAGUAAACAAUGAAUGAUGAAUACACAAUAAAUCAAAUUACAAAUUCUCUAGAAGUAAUCAAUAGCAGAAUAACUGAGGCAGAGGAACGGAUAAGUGACCUGGAAGAUAAAAUAGUAGAAAUAACUACCACAGAGCAGACUAAAGAAAAAAGAAUGAAAAGAAUUGAGGACAGUCUCAGAGAUCUCUGGGGCAACAUUAAAUGCACCAAUUUUUGAAUUACAGGGGCCCCAGAGAAGAGGAGAACAAGAAAGGGUCUGAGGAAAUAUUUGAAGAGAUUAUAGUUGAAAACUUCCCUAACAUGGGAAAGGAAAUAGUCAAUCAAGUCCAGGAAGCUCAGAGAGUCCCAUACAGGAUAAAUCCAAGGAGAAACAUGCCAAGACACAUAUUAAUCAAACUAUCAAAUAUUAAAUACAAAGAAAAAGUAUUAAAAGCAGCAAGGGAAAAGCAGAAAAUAACAUAGAAGGGAAUCCCCAUAAGGUUAACAGCUGAUCUUUAAGCAGAAAAUCUGCAAGCCAGAAGGGAGUGGCAGGACAUAUUUAAAGUGAUGAGAGGGAAAAACCUACAACCAAAUUACUCUACCCAGCAAGGAUCUCAUUCAGAUUUGAUGGAGAAAUUAAAACCUUUACAGACAAACAAAAGUUAAGAUUAUUCAGCACCACCAAACCAGCUUUACAACAAAUGCUAAAGGAGCUUCUCUAGGCAGGAAACAUAAGAGAAGGAAAGACCUAUAAAAACAAACCCAAAACAAUUAAGAAAAAUGGUAAUAGGAACAUACAUAUUGAUAAUUACGUUAAAUAUAAAUGGAUUAAAUGCUCCAAUCAAAAGACGUAGACUGGCUGAAUGGGUACAAAAACAAGACCUGUGUAUAUGCUGUCUACAAGAGACCCACUUCAGACCUAGAGACAUGUACAGACUGAAAGUGAGGGGAUGGAAAAAGAUAUUCCAUGCAAAUGGAAAUCAAAAGAAAGCUGGAGUAGCAAUUCUCAUAUCAGACCAAAUAGACUUUAAAAUAAAGACUAUUACAAGAGACAAAGAAGGACACUACAUAAUGAUCAAGGGAUCAAUCCAAGAAGAAGAUAUAACAAUUGUAAAUAUUUAUACGCCCAACAUAGGAGUACCUCAAUACAUAAGGCAAAUGCUAACAGCCAUACAAGGGGAUAUCGACAGUAACACAAUCAUAGUAGGGGACGAUAACACUCCACUUUUACCAAUGGACAGAUCAUGCAAAUGAAAAUAAAUAAGGAAACACAAGCUUUAAAUGAUACAUUAAACAAGAUGGACUUAAUUGAUAUUUAUAGGACAUUCCAUCCAAAAACAACAGAAUACACUUUCGUCUCAAGUGCUCAUGGAACAUUCUGCAGGAUAGAUCAUAUCUUGAGUCACAAAUCAAGCCUUGGUAUUUUUAGGAAAAUUGAAAUCAUAUCAAGUAUCUUUUCCGAGCACAACGCUAUGAGACUAGAAAUCAAUUACAGGAAAAAAACUGUAAAAAAUACAAACACAUGGAGGCUAAACAAUACACUACUAAAUAGCCAAGAGAUCACUGAAGAAAUCAAACAGGAAAUCAAAAAACACGUAGAAACAAAUGACAAUGAAAACACGACAACCCAAAACCUAUGGGAUGCAGCAAAAGCAGUUCUAAGAGGGAAGUUUAUAGCAAUACAAUCCUAUCUGAAGAAACAAGAAAAAUCUCAAAUAAACAACCUAACUUUACACCUAAAGCAAUUAGAAAAAGAAGAACAAAAAACCCCAAAGUUAGCAGAAGGAAAGAAAUCAUAAAGAUCAGAUCAGAAAUAAAUGAAAAAGAAAUGAAGGAAAUGAUAGCAAAGAUCAAUAAAACUAAAAGCUGAUUCUUUGAGAAGAUAAACAAAAUUCAUAAACCAUCAGGCAGACUCAUCAAGAAAAAAAGGGAGAUGACUCAAAUCAACAAAAUUAGAAAUGAAAAAGGAGAAGUAACAACUGACACUGGAGAAAUACAAAGGAUCAUGAGAGAUUACUACAAGCAACUAUAUGCCAAUAAAAUGGACAACCUGGAAGAAAUGGACAAAUUCUUAGAAAAGCACAACCUUCUGAGACUGAACCAGGAAGAAAGAAAAAAUAUAAACAGACCAAUCACAAGCCCUGAAAUUGAAACUGUGAUUAAAAGUCUUCCAACAGGGCUUCCCUGGUGGCACAGUGGUUGGGAGUCUGCCUGCGAAUGCAGGGGACAAGGGUUCGAGCCCUGGUCUGGGAGGAUCCCACAUGCCGCGGAGCAACUGGGCCCGUGAGCCACAACUACUGAGCCUGCGCGUCUGGAGCCUGUGCUCCGCAACAAGAGAGGCCGCGAUAGUGAGAGGCCCGCGCACCGCGAUGAAGAGGGGCCCCCGCUUGCCGCAGCUGGAGAAGGCCCUCGCACAAAAACAAAGACCCAACACAGCCAAAAAUAAAUAAAUAAAUAAACAAUUUAAAAAAAGUCUUCCAACAAACAAAAGUGGCUUCACAGGCGAAUUCUAUCAAACAUUUAGAGAAGAGCUAACCCCUAUCCUUCUCAAACUCUUCCAAAAUAUAGCAGAGGGAGGAACACUCCCAAACUCAUUCUACGAGGCCAACAUCAACCUGAUAUUGAAACAAAAGAUGACACAUAAAAAGAAAACUACAGGCCAAUAUCACUUAUGAACAUAGAUGCAAAAAUCCUCAACAAAAUACUAGCAAACAGAAUCAAACAGCACAUUAAAGGAACACACACCAUGAUCAAGAGGGGUUUAUCCCAGGAAUGCGAGGAUUCUUCAAUAUAUGCAAAUCAAUCAAUGUGAAACACCAUAUUAACAAAUUGAAGGAUUAAAACCAUAUGAUCAUCUCAAUAGAUGCAGACAAAGCUUUGGACAAAAUUCAACACCCAUUUAUGAUAAAAACUCUCCAGAAAGUAGGCAUAGAGGGAACCUACCUCAACAUAAUAGAGGCCAUAUAUGAUAAACCCACAGCCAACAUCGUUCUCAAUGGUGAAAAACUGAAACCAUUUCCACUAAGAUCAGAAACAAGACAAGGUUGCCCACUGUCACCACUAUUAUUCAACAUAGUUUUGGAAGUUUUAGCCACAGCAAUCAGAGAAGAAAAAGAAAUGAAAGGAAUCCAAAUCGGAGAAGAAGAAGUAAAACUGUCACUGUUUGCAGAUGACAUUGUACUAUACAUAGAGAAUCCUAAAGAUGGUACCAGAAAACUACUAGAGCUAAUCAUUGAAUUUGGUAAAGUUGCAGGAUACAAAAUUAAUGCACAGAAAUCUCUUUCAUUCCUACACACUAAUGAUGAAAAAUCUGAAAGAGAAAUUAAGGAAACACUCCCAUUUACCACUGCAACAAAAAGAAUAAAAUACCUAGGAAUAAACCUACCUAAGGAGACAAAAGACCUGUAUGCAGAAAACUAUAAGGCAUUGAUGAAAGAAAUUAAAGAUGAUACCAACAGAUGGAGAGAUAUACCAUGUUCUUGGAUUGGAGGAAUCAAUAUUGUGAAAAUGGCUAUAGUACCCAAAGCAGUCUACAGAUUCAAUGCAAUCCUUAUCAAACUACCUAUGGCAUUUUUCACAGAAGUAGAAUAAAAAAUUUCACAAUUUGUAUGGAAACACAAAAGACCCCGAAUAGCCAAAGCAAUCUUGAGAAAGAAAAACGAAGCUGGAGGAAUCAGGCUCCCUGACUUCAGACUAUACUACAAAGCUACAGUAACCAAAAUAGUAUGAUACUGGCACAAAAACAGAAAUAUAGUUCAAUGGAACAGUAUAGAAAGCCCAGAGAUAAACCCUUGCACAUAUGGUCACCUUAUCUUUGAUAAAGUAGGCAAGAGUGCACAAUGGAGAAAAGACAGCCUCUUCAAUAGGUGAUGCUGGGGAAACUGGACAGCUACAUGUAAAAGAAUGAAAUUAGAACACUCCCUAACACCAUACACAAAAAUAAACUCAAAAUGGAUUAAAGACCUGAAUUUGGCCAGACACUAUAAAACUCUUAGAGGAAAACGUAGGCAGAACACUCUAUGACAUAAAUCACAGCAAGAUUCUUUUUGACCCACCUCCUAGAGAAAUGGAAAUAAAAACAAAAAUAAACAAAUGGGCCCUAAUGAAACUUAAAACUUUUGCACAGCAAAGGAAAUCAUAAACAAGAUGAAAAGACAACCCUCAGAAUGGGAGAAAAUAUUUGCAAAUGAAGCAACUGACAGAGGAUUAAUCUCUAAAAUAUACAAGCAGCUCAUGCAGCUUAAUAUCAAAAAAACAAACAACCCAAUCCAAAAAUGGGCAGAAGACCUAAAUAGACAUUUCUCCAAAGAAGAUGUAUAGAUUGCCAACAAACACAUGAAAGUAUGCUCAACAUCACUAAUCAUUAGAGAAAUGCAAAUCAAAACUACAAUGAGGUAUGACCUCACACCAGUCAGAAUGGCCAUCAUCAAAAAAUCUACAAACAACAAAUGCUGGAGAGGGUGUGGAGAAAAGGGAACCCUCUUGCACUGUUGGUGGGAAUGUAAAUUGAUACAGCCACUAUGGAGAACAGUAUGGAGGUUCCUUAAAAAACUAAAAAUAGAACUACCAUACAACCCAGCAAACCCACUACUGGGCAUAUACCCCUGAGAAAACCAUAAUUGAAAAUGAGUCAUAUACCACAAUGUUCAUUGUAGCUCUAUUUACAAUAGCCAGGACAUGGAAGCAACCUAAGUGACCAUUGACAGAUGAAUGGAUAAAGAAGAUGUGGCACAUAUAUACAGUGGAAUAUUACUCAGCCAUAAAAAGAAAUGAAAUGGAGUUAUUUGUAGUGAGGUGGAUGGAUCUAGAGUCUGUCAUACAGAGUGAAGUAUGUCAGAAAGAGAAAAACAAAUACCAUAUGCUAACACAUAUAUAUGGAAUCUAAAAAAAAAAUAAAAAGGAAUGGUUCUGAAGAACCUAGGGGCAGGACAGGAAUAAAGACGCAGAUGUAGAGAAUGGACUUGAGGACAUGUGGAGCGAGAAUGGUAAGCUGGGACGAAGUGAGAGAGUAGCCUUGACAUAUAUACACUACCAAAUGUAAAAUAGAUAGCUAGUGGGAAGCAGCCGCAUAGCACAGGGAGAUCAGCUUGGUGCUUUGU